Molecule: ribosomal RNA, 246 nt
Filed under: uncultured Lactobacillus sp.
Lineage: Bacteria; Bacillati; Bacillota; Bacilli; Lactobacillales; Lactobacillaceae
Description: partial 16S ribosomal RNA
Rfam family: Bacterial small subunit ribosomal RNA
Source: RNAcentral
CGUGGGUAACCUGCCCAAGAGAUCGGGGUAACACCUGGAAACAGAUGCUAAUACCGGAUAACAACAGAUGAUGCCUAUCAACUGUUUAAAAGAUGGUUCUGCUAUCACUCUUGGAUGGACCUGCGGUGCAUUAGCUAGUUGGUAGGGUAACGGCCUACCAAGGCGAUGAUGCAUAGCCGAGUUGAGAGACUGAUCGGCCACAUUGGGACUGAGACACGGCCCAAACUCCUACGGGAGGCAGCAGCU